RNAcentral lists this ribosomal RNA (559 nucleotides) under uncultured bacterium. RNAcentral's name for it is "partial 16S ribosomal RNA". It matches the Rfam family "Bacterial small subunit ribosomal RNA", at positions 355 to 905 of the family's 1533-position model. The record is from RNAcentral.
UGGGGAAUUUUGGACAAUGGGCGAAAGCCUGAUCCAGCAAUGCCGCGUGUGUGAAGAAGGCCUUCGGGUUGUAAAGCACUUUUGUCCGGAAAGAAAUGGCUCUGGUUAAUACCUGGGGUCGAUGACGGUACCGGAAGAAUAAGGACCGGCUAACUACGUGCCAGCAGCCGCGGUAAUACGUAGGGUCCAAGCGUUAAUCGGAAUUACUGGGCGUAAAGCGUGCGCAGGCGGUUGUGCAAGACCGAUGUGAAAUCCCCGAGCUUAACUUGGGAAUUGCAUUGGUGACUGCACGGCUAGAGUGUGUCAGAGGGGGGUAGAAUUCCACGUGUAGCAGUGAAAUGCGUAGAGAUGUGGAGGAAUACCGAUGGCGAAGGCAGCCCCCUGGGAUAACACUGACGCUCAUGCACGAAAGCGUGGGGAGCAAACAGGAUUAGAUACCCUGGUGGUCCACGCCCUAAACGAUGUCAACUAGUUGUUGGGGGAUUCAUUUCCUUAGUAACGUAGCUAACGCGUGAAGUUGACCGCCUGGGGAGUACGGUCGCAAGAUUAAAAGCUUAAA